Molecule: ribosomal RNA, 207 nt
Filed under: uncultured bacterium
Lineage: Bacteria
Description: partial 16S ribosomal RNA
Rfam family: Bacterial small subunit ribosomal RNA
Source: RNAcentral
CGCGUAGGCGGGGAUGUAAGUCAGACGUGAAAUCCCGGGGCUCAACCUCGGAACAGCAUUUGAAACUACAUCUCUCGAGGGUAGGCGGAGAAGACGGAAUUCCACAAGUAGCGGUGAAAUGCGUAGAUAUGUGGAAGAACACCGGUGGCGAAGGCGGUUUUCUAGCUUAUUCCUGACGCUAAAGCGCGAAAGCAAGGGGAUCAAACA